RNAcentral lists this ribosomal RNA (201 nucleotides) under Schizophyllum commune. RNAcentral's name for it is "partial small subunit ribosomal RNA". It matches the Rfam family "Eukaryotic small subunit ribosomal RNA", at positions 1591 to 1789 of the family's 1831-position model. Lineage: Eukaryota; Fungi; Basidiomycota; Agaricomycetes; Agaricales; Schizophyllaceae. The record is from RNAcentral.
UAUUGCUCUUCAACGAGGAAUACCUAGUAAGCGUGAGUCAUCAGCUCGCGUUGAUUACGUCCCUGCCCUUUGUACACACCGCCCGUCGCUACUACCGAUUGAAUGGCUUAGUGAGGUCUUCGGAUCGGCUUUGGGGAGAAGGCAACGGCACCUCAUUGCUGAGAAGUUGAUCAAACUUGGUCAUUUAGAGGAAGUAAAAGU